This 301-nucleotide ribosomal RNA is filed under the name uncultured bacterium. RNAcentral's name for it is "partial 16S ribosomal RNA". It matches the Rfam family "Bacterial small subunit ribosomal RNA", at positions 509 to 809 of the family's 1533-position model. The record is from RNAcentral.
CAGCCGCCGCGGGAAUACGAAGGGGGCUAGCGUUGUUCGGAUUUACUGGGCGUAAAGGGCGCGUAGGCGGACUGAUAAGUCAGGGGUGAAAUCCCAAGGCUCAACCUUGGAACUGCCUUUGAUACUGUUUGUCUUGAGUUCGAGAGAGGUAAGUGGAACUGCGGGUGUAGAGGUGAAAUUCGUAGAUAUUCGCAAGAACACCAGUGGCGAAGGCGGCUUACUGGCUCGAUACUGACGCUGAGGCGCGAAAGCGUGGGGAGCAAACAGGAUUAGAUACCCGAGUAGUCCCUGUCUCUUAUAA